AUGAACGCUGGCGGCGUGCCUAAUACAUGCAAGUCGAGCGAACAGACGAGGAGCUUGCUCUUCUGACGUUAGCGGCGGACGGGUGAGUAACACGUGGAUAACCUACCUAUAAGACUGGGAUAACUUCGGGAAACCGGAGCUAAUACCGGAUAAUAUAUUGGACCGCAUGGUUUCAUAGUGAAAGACGGUUUUGCUUUCACUUAUAGAUGGAUCCGCGCCGCAUUAGCUAGUUGGUAAGGUAACGGCUUACCAAGGCGACGAUGCGUAGCCGACCUGAGAGGGUGAUCGGCCACACUGGAACUGAGACACGGUCCAGACUCCUACGGGAGGCAGCAGUAGGGAAUCUUCCGCAAUGGGCGAAAGCCUGACGGAGCAACGCCGCGUGAGUGAUGAAGGUCUUCGGAUCGUAAAACUCUGUUAUUAGGGAAGAACAAAUGUGUAAGUAACUAUGCACGUCUUGACGGUACCUAAUCAGAAAGCCACGGCUAACUACGUG
Molecule: ribosomal RNA, 496 nt
Filed under: uncultured bacterium
Lineage: Bacteria
Description: partial 16S ribosomal RNA
Rfam family: Bacterial small subunit ribosomal RNA
Source: RNAcentral